Molecule: ribosomal RNA, 253 nt
Filed under: uncultured bacterium
Lineage: Bacteria
Description: partial 16S ribosomal RNA
Rfam family: Bacterial small subunit ribosomal RNA
Source: RNAcentral
UACGGAGGGUGCAAGCGUUAUCCGGAAUCACUGGGUUUAAAGGGUGCGUAGGCGGAAAAGUAAGUCAGAGGUGAAAGCCCGUCGCUUAACGAUGGAAUUGCCUUUGAUACUGUUUUUCUUGAAUUGGGUUGAGGUAAGCGGAAUGUGGCAUGUAGCGGUGAAAUGCAUAGAUAUGCCAUAGAACACCGAUUGCGAAGGCAGCUUACUGGACCUUUAUUGACGCUGAGGCACGAAAGCGUGGGGAGCGAACAGG